GAUGAACGCUAGCUACAGGCUUAACACAUGCAAGUCGAGGGGUAACGAGAGGAAAGCUUGCUUUCCUUGUCGACGACCGGCGCACGGGUGAGUAACGCGUAUCCAACCUGCCCCCAACUAGGGAAUAACCUUGCGAAAGUAAGACUAAUACCCUAUAAUUUCCUCAGAUGACAUCUGACGAGGAAUAAAGAUUUAUCGGUUGUGGAUGGGGAUGCGUCUGAUUAGCUUGUUGGCGGGGUAACGGCCCACCAAGGCAACGAUCAGUAGGGGUUCUGAGAGGAAGGUCCCCCACAUUGGAACUGAGACACGGUCCAAACUCCUACGGGAGGCAGCAGUGAGGAAUAUUGGUCAAUGGGCGGAAGCCUGAACCAGCCAAGUAGCGUGCAGGAUGACGGCCCUAUGGGUUGUAAACUGCUUUUAUACGGGAAUAAAGUUGGCCACGUGUGGUUAUUUGUAGGUACUGUAUGAAUAAGGACCGGCUAAUUCCGUGCCAGCCGCCGCCGUAA
Molecule: ribosomal RNA, 506 nt
Filed under: uncultured bacterium
Lineage: Bacteria
Description: partial 16S ribosomal RNA
Rfam family: Bacterial small subunit ribosomal RNA
Source: RNAcentral